Molecule: transfer RNA, 72 nt
Organism: Dactylellina haptotyla CBS 200.50
Lineage: Eukaryota; Fungi; Ascomycota; Orbiliomycetes; Orbiliales; Orbiliaceae
Rfam family: tRNA
About the family: Transfer RNA (tRNA) molecules are approximately 80 nucleotides in length. Their secondary structure includes four short double-helical elements and three loops (D, anti-codon, and T loops). Further hydrogen bonds mediate the characteristic L-shaped molecular structure. tRNAs have two regions of fundamental functional importance: the anti-codon, which is responsible for specific mRNA codon recognition, and the 3' end, to which the tRNAs corresponding amino acid is attached (by aminoacyl-tRNA synthetases). tRNAs cope with the degeneracy of the genetic code in two manners: having more than one tRNA (with a specific anti-codon) for a particular amino acid; and 'wobble' base-pairing, i.e. permitting non-standard base-pairing at the 3rd anti-codon position.
Source: Rfam
GGCCACUUGGCGCAAUGGUAGCGCGUUGCUCUCCUAAAGCAGAGGUUGUAGAUUCGAGUUCUACAGUGGUCG